RNAcentral lists this ribosomal RNA (90 nucleotides) under Aotus nancymaae (Ma's night monkey). Lineage: Eukaryota; Metazoa; Chordata; Mammalia; Primates; Aotidae. The record is from RNAcentral.
GUCUGCAGCCAUACCAUCCUGAACACAUUCAACCUGUCUGAUCUCAGAAGCUAAUCAGGGUCAACCCUGGUCAGGCCUGGUUACUGGACC